CAAAAGGCAAACUCUGGGUAACCGGGGGGCGCAAAACUACGGGUCCAGUAAUGGGCAGCCGAGUUAC
This 67-nucleotide non-coding RNA is filed under the name marine eukaryotic metagenome. Its description in RNAcentral is "Cyclic di-GMP-I riboswitch". It matches the Rfam family "c-di-GMP-I riboswitch aptamer", at positions 7 to 83 of the family's 87-position model. From Rfam's summary of the family: GEMM was predicted in a large-scale screen for bacterial structured RNA regulatory elements. Genes associated with GEMM are involved in a diverse array of functions, including chemotaxis regulation, signal transduction, secretion and chitin. The record is from RNAcentral.